RNAcentral lists this ribosomal RNA (253 nucleotides) under uncultured bacterium. Its description in RNAcentral is "partial 16S ribosomal RNA". It matches the Rfam family "Bacterial small subunit ribosomal RNA", at positions 524 to 776 of the family's 1533-position model. The record is from RNAcentral.
UACAGAGGGUGCGAGCGUUGUUCGGAAUUAUUGGGCGUAAAGGGCGCGUAGGCGGUGCGGUAAGUCACCUGUGAAAUCUCCUGGCUCAACUGGGAGCUUGCAGGCGAAACUGCCGUGCUGGAGUGUGGGAGAGGUGCGUGGAAUUCCUGGUGUAGCGGUGAAAUGCGUAGAUAUCAGGAGGAACACCUGUGGUGUAGACAGCUUACUGGACCACUUCUGACGCUGAGACACGAAAGCGUGGGUAGCAAACAGG